This 845-nucleotide ribosomal RNA is filed under the name Shigella flexneri. RNAcentral describes it as "bacterial SSU rRNA". It matches the Rfam family "Bacterial small subunit ribosomal RNA", at positions 700 to 1533 of the family's 1533-position model. Lineage: Bacteria; Pseudomonadati; Pseudomonadota; Gammaproteobacteria; Enterobacterales; Enterobacteriaceae. The record is from RNAcentral.
GGAGGAAUACCGGUGGCGAAGGCGGCCCCCUGGACGAAGACUGACGCUCAGGUGCGAAAGCGUGGGGAGCAAACAGGAUUAGAUACCCUGGUAGUCCACGCCGUAAACGAUGUCGACUUGGAGGUUGUGCCCUUGAGGCGUGGCUUCCGGAGCUAACGCGUUAAGUCGACCGCCUGGGGAGUACGGCCGCAAGGUUAAAACUCAAAUGAAUUGACGGGGGCCCGCACAAGCGGUGGAGCAUGUGGUUUAAUUCGAUGCAACGCGAAGAACCUUACCUGGUCUUGACAUCCACGGAAGUUUUCAGAGAUGAGAAUGUGCCUUCGGGAACCGUGAGACAGGUGCUGCAUGGCUGUCGUCAGCUCGUGUUGUGAAAUGUUGGGUUAAGUCCCGCAACGAGCGCAACCCUUAUCCUUUGUUGCCAGCGGUCCGGCCGGGAACUCAAAGGAGACUGCCAGUGAUAAACUGGAGGAAGGUGGGGAUGACGUCAAGUCAUCAUGGCCCUUACGACCAGGGCUACACACGUGCUACAAUGGCGCAUACAAAGAGAAGCGACCUCGCGAGAGCAAGCGGACCUCAUAAAGUGCGUCGUAGUCCGGAUUGGAGUCUGCAACUCGACUCCAUGAAGUCGGAAUCGCUAGUAAUCGUGGAUCAGAAUGCCACGGUGAAUACGUUCCCGGGCCUUGUACACACCGCCCGUCACACCAUGGGAGUGGGUUGCAAAAGAAGUAGGUAGCUUAACCUUCGGGAGGGCGCUUACCACUUUGUGAUUCAUGACUGGGGUGAAGUCGUAACAAGGUAACCGUAGGGGAACCUGCGGUUGGAUCACCUCCUUACCUUAAAGAAGC